UGAGGAAUUUUGCGCAAUGGGGGAAACCCUGACGCAGCGACGCCGCGUGGAGGAUGAAGGCCUUCGGGUCGUAAACUCCUGUCAGAGGUGAAGAACACCCGCAAGGGUUUGACGGUAACCUCAGAGGAAGCCCCGGCUAACUACGUGCCAGCAGCCGCGGUAAUACGUAGGGGGCAAACGUUGCUCGGAAUUACUGGGCGUAAAGGGUGAGUAGGCGGCUGGGCAAGUCAAGGAUGAAAUCCCGUGGCUUAACUGCGGAACUGUCCUUGAAACUGCCUAGCUUGAGGAUAGUUGAAGAGAAGGGAAUUCCCGGUGGAGCGGUGAAAUGCGUAGAUAUCGGGAGGAACACCUGAGGCGAAGGCGCUUCUCUAAGCUACUCCUGACGCUGAAUCACGAAAGCUAGGGGGGCAAACGGGAUUAGAUACCCCGGUAGUCCUAGCCUUAAACGAUGGACGCUAGAUAUUCCUGCAUUCAUGUGGGAGUGUCGAAGCUAACGCGUUAAGCGUCCCGCCUGGGGAGUACGGUCGCAAGGCUG
This 535-nucleotide ribosomal RNA is filed under the name uncultured bacterium. RNAcentral's name for it is "bacterial SSU rRNA". It matches the Rfam family "Bacterial small subunit ribosomal RNA", at positions 355 to 896 of the family's 1533-position model. The record is from RNAcentral.